This 102-nucleotide microRNA precursor is filed under the name Marmota monax (woodchuck). The record is from RNAcentral. Lineage: Eukaryota; Metazoa; Chordata; Mammalia; Rodentia; Sciuridae.
AGAGGGAUAGCUGGGUCUAAUGGUGGUUCCAUUCCCAGUUUUCAAGGAAUUUCCAUAAUGCUUUCCAUAUUGGCUGCACCAAUUUGCAGUCCCACCAGCAAU